RNAcentral lists this long non-coding RNA (933 nucleotides) under Homo sapiens (human). RNAcentral's name for it is "HSALNT0332190". The record is from RNAcentral. Lineage: Eukaryota; Metazoa; Chordata; Mammalia; Primates; Hominidae.
GAGGACCUGCGCUCGCGGGGGCUGCUGCGCUCUGCGCUGGGGCCUCUCGGGCUGGGAAUGCGUGGCCCGGCUUUUGAGGAUUUCCUCGGUCCCCGGGCGGAAAUAGCUGGAAUGGAGGGGCCUCUCGAUUGGAGACUUACUGGUCAAAUAUUUACUUUUGUUGAUCACUGGAAACGCUACCUACCACGCAUUGACUAGGACCACAGUGAGGAGGGAACGCUUUAGAUGAUAGAGUUUUGUUUGGGGGCUUUUUUUUGUUUUGUUUUAUUCCAGGAAUUCAGGAAAUUGCCCCAGAAGUCCGAUUUCUGAUGUGUAAAACCUUUUUUUACAGAAAACCACGACUUCCUGGAAAAGUCUUCACCGUAAAUAUUAAUCUCUUUGGCAUGAAGAGGAAAACACUGCAGCUAAUUUUUCAUGGGAUAACAAAAAUAUAAACUGCAAUUUCUUUUAUUUUUUCCCUUUCGAUGGUCUUUUUAAACGAGGAGUAAAGAUUUCAACGCCAGGUCCAUUUUCCAAAUUUUGUACCAGAACCUUGAGGAUGCUUGUCUCUCGCGCGCUUCUCCGCAGACCGAACCCUCUCCGGAACUCAGAGCUGUUCACCCAAGUCAGCGGAGGAGGCCUCCUGGGACUUGAGCCUGAGGGUGGCGAAGAACCCUAGGCAGAGAUCAUCAACUUGGUACCGAUGAGUGACGCGGAGCUUGAACAUUCCAGCGACUUGCUCCAGGGCCACUCCCAGUUAAGAGGCUGAGUGUUAACUGCAAGAGGCUGAGUGUUAACUACGCCGUUGGCUCCAGGAACCGAACCGGGUUUGGAUACAGACCCAGUCACACCAUCCAUGAAAAGCUGUUUCUAUAAUAUGAAAAAUUGUUAAAUGACGCUUUAGUAAAAGCCAUUUAAAGAUCUUUUCUAAUAAAUUUUUCAUCUUUCCAAACA